AAUGAACGUUGGCGGCGUGGAUUAGGCAUGCAAGUCGAGCGAGAACCCAGCAAUGGGGGACAGCGGCGCAAGGGACAGUAAUGUGUAGAUCAUCUGCCCUCAGGACCGGGAUAGCCGCGGGAAACUGCGGGUAAUACCGGAUAACAUCCCCGGAUCAAAGGUGUGAUUCCGCCUGAGGAUGAGUCUGCAUCCUAUUAGCUAGUUGGUAGGUAACGCCUACCAAGGCAAUGAUGGGUAGCGGGUGUGAGAGCACGACCCGCGUCAUUGGGACUGAGACACUGCCCAGACACCUACGGGAGGCAG
This 303-nucleotide ribosomal RNA is filed under the name uncultured Planctomycetota bacterium. RNAcentral describes it as "bacterial SSU rRNA". It matches the Rfam family "Bacterial small subunit ribosomal RNA", at positions 29 to 351 of the family's 1533-position model. Lineage: Bacteria; Pseudomonadati; Planctomycetota. The record is from RNAcentral.